RNAcentral lists this long non-coding RNA (687 nucleotides) under Dicentrarchus labrax (European seabass). RNAcentral describes it as "lncRNA (ENSDLAG00005013942.2)". The record is from RNAcentral. Lineage: Eukaryota; Metazoa; Chordata; Actinopteri; Moronidae.
AUGGUGCCCAGUGCAUCAAGCAACAGCUGGUACCAUGUAAACACCUUAGCAAGUUGCUGCACUUGUCCAGUUGGUGUGACCGGUGCUCCAUGCAAGCACCAAAGCGCAGUUAUGCAGACAUUUAACGUCACAGAGGCAGUCCCUGUAACCACCACAUCUCUUCUGAGGCGGCUUUUCCAUGGAAUCGCCUCUGGGGGUAGCACUCCAGAGGACUGGUUUGAGACACUGGCUUAUGAAAAGGCUGUGGUGGACGACCCCCUGUCCCAUCUAGCUGAGGAAGCAGGAGCAAGCACAUCAGAGGAAGUUGAGGAGACAGCAUUCCUGGAGAAGCAGCUUGAAGACAUUGUUGGGCUCCUGAAGCGCAAGCUGCGUGAGGAUACAACCUUCACUGCUCCAGUGAAAUCCUUUGUGGACACAUUUGGGAAGCUCCACACUGACAGUGCUGUACAGUCAGCAUUGUUUUCCUUCGGGAAAAACGAUCGAGGGCAGUCUAGUGUUCGUGCAAGGCCGAGGGGCUUCCUUCAAACGAGUGCCACUAUAGGUGUCCAACCGACAGCGGUGUCCCGGAGAAAGGCAGCUUUGGGUGGUAGGAGAACCCUUGGAGCUGGCAGACCCCCAAAGAGCUCAAGAAAGGAACAUGGGUACUCCAGACAAGGCAGACCAAAGGGUGUACCACACAACCUGUGA